CCUACGGGCGGCAGCAGUGGGGGAUAUUGCACAAUGGGGGAAACCCUGAUGCAGCAACGCCGCGUGUGGGAAGAAGGUUUUCGGAUUGUAAACCACUGUUCUUGGUGAAGUUAAUGACGGUAACCAAGGAGAAAGCAUCGGCUAACUCCGUGCCAGCAGCCGCGGUAAUACGGAGGAUGCGAGCGUUAUCCGGAUUUAUUGGGUUUAAAGGGUGCGUAGGCGGAACAUUGAGUCAGCGGUAAAAUCGAGGGGCUCAACCCCUUUAAGCCGUUGAAACUGGUGAUCUUGAGUGGGCGAGAAGUAUGCGGAAUGCGUGGUGUAGCGGUGAAAUGCAUAGAUAUCACGCAGAACUCCGAUUGCGAAGGCAGCAUACCGGCGCCCGACUGACGCUGAGGCACGAAAGCGUGGGGAUCGAACAGGAUUAGAUACCCGUGUAGUC
Molecule: ribosomal RNA, 439 nt
Filed under: uncultured bacterium
Lineage: Bacteria
Description: partial 16S ribosomal RNA
Rfam family: Bacterial small subunit ribosomal RNA
Source: RNAcentral